UGAGGAAUAUUGGGCAAUGGGGGCAACCCUGACCCAGCCAUGCCGCGUGAGUGAAGAAGGUCUUCGGAUUGUAAAGCUCUUUCGGACGUGACGAUGAUGACGGUAGCGUCUAAAGAAGCACCGGCAAACUUCGUGCCAGCAGCCGCGGUAAUACGAAGGGUGCGAGCGUUGUUCGGAAUUACUGGGCGUAAAGGGAGUGUAGGCGGAUAUGUAAGAUAGCGGUGAAAUGCCGGGGCUCAACCCCGGAACUGCCAUUAUGACUAUGUAUCUAGAGUAAUGGAGAGGAUAGCGGAAUACCCAGUG
RNAcentral lists this ribosomal RNA (303 nucleotides) under uncultured bacterium. RNAcentral describes it as "bacterial SSU rRNA". It matches the Rfam family "Bacterial small subunit ribosomal RNA", at positions 355 to 675 of the family's 1533-position model. The record is from RNAcentral.